UCAAAAUCUUCCCUUUCCUUUAAGGUCAGCUGAAGUCCCAGUUCUUUCAAAAAACCUUAAUAUUAUCUCUUCUGAUCUCCUAUAGCACCAUUGUCUUCGUGAUUCAUGUCAUUUACUAACUUUUAUCACUAGUUCUGUUUAAAUAUAUAUGACCAAUCACCCAGAACUGGCUUGAAUCCUGCUUGAGAGCAGGGACAAUAUCUUGUGCUUCUUUGUUCUGUUAUCUCUUCAGGUGCUAAUGUCCUAUCUUUCAACAUUCUUUUUUUUUUUUUUUUCUUUCUAAAAAUCCCUCCCCCACAUCUAGGUUCUAGGGUUCUUUCUAAUUCUAAUUCUCUGAGUUAUAAUAUUUCUAUUAUAAAGAACCUUCAAUGGCUAGCGUUCCAUGUGCUAACACUUUACUAUAUUUCUCUUCCAGGUUUCAUGGAAACAACCAAAAGUGAACAGUUUCUAGAACUACCCAAAACCUCACUUCAUGUUUCUGUACUAGCAGCCAUAGUUAAAUACUAGGAGUGAUAUGUUUUGCAAUUGACUUCAAUGAACCAUUGAGCUGCUAUUAAAAUGUCUGCCCAAUUUGUUUGGUACUGUGGGUGUGUUUAUAGGCAACACACCUGCUCUAUGGAAUCUUGCUUGACAAAUAUGGAAAUGUGUUUAGAAGAAUUGCACACAACCUAUAUCAGACUGCUUGCUGUCUUGAGGAGAAAAAUUUGGAACUUGUGUUUUGAGAAGAGGAAUGUUGAAAACUAUUUUUCCUCAGGUACCCCUUGAGGAGAUCCAGGAUUUGGUGACAUCGGGGCCUUUUGUUGAAUGAACUUGUGGCUGAAGCAUCAAUUUCACAGGAACCUGAAGCCAGAAUGAUGAAGACAGCCAGCCCACAGGUGUAUUUCCUUGAUAAUGCCAAGGGACUAGAAGCACUUCUUCCUAAAACAGAAGGACCAGAAGAAUCAUGUUGCAAAUCACACCAUCCCCAAUUCCCUUUAGUGUAUAAUUCAGAGUUUUAAAAUGCAAUAAUUGAAGUGUAAAUGGGACACUCAGUGUCUUAGAAUCCUAGGUAGGAUCAUUAAGUCCCAUAUAAUGUAUAUGAUAAUGAUAUAAUAAUAAUAGAUAGUAUAAUAAUUGUUGUUCAGUCAUUUCAGUUAUAUCCAAAUCUUUGUGACUCCAUUUGGGCAUUUCUUGGCAAAGUUACUGGAGUGGUUGGCCAUUUCCUUCUCCAGUUCAUUUUACAGAUGAACUGAGGCAAACAGGGUGAAGUGACUUGCCCCGGGUCACACAGG
This 1271-nucleotide long non-coding RNA is filed under the name Sarcophilus harrisii (Tasmanian devil). RNAcentral describes it as "lncRNA (ENSSHAG00000025126.1)". The record is from RNAcentral. Lineage: Eukaryota; Metazoa; Chordata; Mammalia; Dasyuromorphia; Dasyuridae.